Molecule: long non-coding RNA, 2417 nt
Organism: Schistocerca nitens (vagrant locust)
Lineage: Eukaryota; Metazoa; Arthropoda; Insecta; Orthoptera; Acrididae
Exons: 4
Source: RefSeq, a predicted model, not a curated record
AUGGCCGUAUUUACAUCAGCGCAGGUUACAGUUGACUGUAAUUCGUGAGAUAUUCGUUUAAAAUAGGAAAUAUUGGGUAUUUUCGUCUUGAAUAAACCAGCAAUGCUGUGCUUUUAGUUGUACUUACGAAGAGAAGAAGAGAGGGAAGCAGCAAGAAGAAUAAUACGGCUGAUGAACAUCUGCAGAGCAAACUGGCAGAAUGCAAAAGCAACUGCGUUGUUAAAGGCGAAAAGGGAGGAGAACUGUACAGGAUUCCUUCGGAAGGGAGAGAUGCGACAAGGAGGAGAAUAUGGCUGAUGAAACUCAGCAGAACCAACUGGCAACCCACAAGAGACUCUAGCUGGUGUGCAGUAAUAAGCACAACCAGUUUGAGGACAACAGAGCUGAUGGAGUGGAAAAACUUAAACCAAAUGCUGUGCCAACCAUAUUCUGUUACCGUAAGCCACCAGUGGUACGUGAAGCUACUGCUGAGGGGAAACUUGUUGGCCUACUAGAGAAACGCACUGAGGGUACAGGUUGGAGAGCCUUCAAAUGUGACCAAUGGCAUCAGUCCUGCAGAGAACUUGGAACCAAUAGAAGAUGAAGUCACCACCCUGAAGAACCGAGUAAAACAGCUUCAUGCUGAAAUUGAAGUUUUAAACUGAAAACUCUUCUUUUGUUCCUUUUACUAAAGACAACCUCCUUGCCAUUGUGCACGGUUUAUUUGGCGCAGAUCAGUUUGCAAUAUUAACAAAGGGGAAACGGUGCAGGAAGGGCUGAAAAUUAGACUAGCUUGUGGUGGUAUAGGGUACAAAGUCCUGCUGGAAAAUAAACUUCCAUUUCCUUCAGACAGAACCGUGAGAUGUUCGCUACAGAAUGUAAAAUUUAGGCCUGUUGUGCUGAGGGAGCUCAUAAGUUCGCUGAAAGUCAAGCUCGGGCACAUGUUACCAGGGGAGAAACAUCGUGUUCUCGUGAUGGAUGAGUUUGGUAUCACUCCAUCAUUCGAAUAUGAUUGAAGCAAUGGCUGCAUCAUUGGUAAUGAUACGACACACCUCCAUGAAAUCUUGCCCUUGCAACAACUACAGCUUCUCGUGCAUUAGUUUUUAUGCUGGGUCUACCUCAAGGUGGAAACAAAUAAUAGAUUACCAUUACAAAGGGCCAUCUUUUCCCAGUUCUCAUGUCAGUGCUUUAACCACAGCUUGGUUUGUAAAGCACGUUCGUAAGUGGUCUUGCCUCCUGACAUCUAGAGCUCCAGUUAUGCCACUGAGUCGUUCUGAUGAACAAACGUACAGUGAGGUUCUCUGCCAUCUUUAGGACACUCUGUGAUUAUUUGAAAACUUGGAAAUUGGCCUGAAGAGUGCCUGGAAACCAAUUCAGUCUGGCGUAGUUUUAAUAACUGCCAGUAUUUUCGAAUUUUAGGACACAUUCCUGAAUAAGAAGAAAUUUAAAUUUUUGCUGUCGAGUAGAUUUACAAAAGAUCCUUAUAAAAUCUGUUUUCAAUGGUCAGGUUCAAAAGUCCCAUACCAGCACCACAAGAGUAGAAAUUGGGCACUGAGGGUUAUUGCUCUUUCUCUGAUCUUUAUUACUGUCACAGAUAAUAAUGAAAAUAAAAUUAAUGGGGGAAUCGCUAAGUGAAGAUGAGGAUAAGUGUUCUGAGGAAGUCGAUCACCCCCUUUGUAACGCUGUGUGUGUGAGGUGAUGAGCACCAGCCUCUCUACUAUUUGUGUGGUCACACUGUCAGGCAAGUUAUGAAGCGUCACGAACUUUGCAAAUUUUUCGAGGGGAGCCCAAUAGCAUCUAGAGAAAAUGUCUGUAUGUCUGUGAACGUACUUUUACAACUAAAAUCCUUUAAAGAGACCUCACUUAUUGAGCCACCAAGUGAGGUUUUGUGUGUAUUUCAAAAGGCACAGGUGUAGUUGAGAAGUAAACAACAACAUGUUACUCUCAGGUGAAUUGUUGCUCUCUGAUAUAGCCACUUCCGUGGUUGCAUCAGUGGAGGAGAAAGUAGUUUUCCCAGCCUGCCACAGUGUACAGGAGAAAAUAAUUCACAGGUUCCUGGCAACAAGAAUCCAUCUGCUUCUAAGGGAGGGAAAUAAGAUAUAAGGUUUAGUGAUACAAGGCAGUAGAAGUGUGGCCAUGAGGAAAGUAGUGCAGAAACUUUGAGUUCCAAAAUCACUUUUUACUCAAUGAUUUGAAAAAUUGACAUACAUUAGCAUGUUGAGACAUAAAAUCUGUGUUAAUGAUUUUUCUUCAAAUGUUCUCAUUUUUCUUUUACGUACAGUUAUUUUUAUAUUUUUGUUUUACGUUUCUUUCUCAGAGUGUGGAGUGCUUUUAUUAUCUCGUGUAAUAUUUGCUACAUUCUGCAAGUAGAGUAUACCCCUGUCAAGGGUUCAGAAUGAUGCAUAUAUAAAUAAAAACUUCAUCUUUCAACUUGUGUA